GACGAACGCUGGCGGUAUGCCUAACACAUGCAAGUCGAACGAGAUUAUUUUUUUGUUUACAAAGAAAUAAUUGCAGUGGCGGACGGGUGAGGAACACGUAAGAACUUACCUUUUGGCGGGGGAUAACAACGGGAAACUGUUGCUAAUACCCCAUAAUGCUGAGGAGCGAAAGGGAAACUGCCAAAAGAGAGGCUUGCGUCUGAUUAGCUAGUUGGCGGAGGUAAAUGCUCCCCAAGGCGACGAUCAGUAGCUGGUCUGAGAGGAUGAUCAGCCACACUGGGACUGAGACACGGCCCAGACUCCUACGGGAGGCAGCAGUGGGGAAUUUUCCACAAUGGGCGAAAGCCUGAUGGAGCAAUACCGCGUGAAGGAUGAAGGAUCGUGGUNCCGUAAACUUCUUUUCUUAACGAAGAAAUUCUGACGGUAGUUAAGGAAUAAGCACCGGCUAACUCCGUGCCGGCAGCUGCGGUAAUACGGGGGGUGCAAGCGUUGUCCGGAAUGAUUGNGCGUAAAGCAUCUGUAGGUUNNUUUUUAAAGUCGACUGUUAAAGCCCAGGGCUCAACUUUGGAUAAGCGGUCGAGUACUUAGAGACUUGAGUAUGGUAGGGGUAGAGGGAACUNCUAGUGGAGCGGUGAAAUGCACAGAGAUUAGAAGGAACACCAAAGGCGAAAGCACUCUACUGGGCCAUGACUGACACUGAGAGAUGAAAGUUGGGGGAGCGAAAAGGAUUAGAUACCCUUGUAGUCCCAACUGUAAACGAUGGAUACUAAGUGCUGACAAAAUCAGUGCUGUAGCUAACGCGUUAAGUAUCCCGCCUGGGGAGUAUGCUCGCAAGAGUGAAACUCCAAGGAAUUGACGGGAACUGGCACAAGCGGUGGAUUAUGCGGUUUAAUUCGAUGAUACACGAAGAACCUUACCAGGGGAUUGACAUGUUCAGAACUUUUGAGAGAUCGNAA
Molecule: ribosomal RNA, 956 nt
Filed under: uncultured alga
Lineage: Eukaryota
Description: bacterial SSU rRNA
Rfam family: Bacterial small subunit ribosomal RNA
Source: RNAcentral